Molecule: ribosomal RNA, 253 nt
Filed under: uncultured bacterium
Lineage: Bacteria
Description: partial 16S ribosomal RNA
Rfam family: Bacterial small subunit ribosomal RNA
Source: RNAcentral
UACAGAGGUCUCAAGCGUUGUUCGGAUUCAUUGGGCGUAAAGGGUGCGUAGGCGGCGGGGCAAGUCUGAUGUGAAAUCCCGGGGCUCAACCCCGGAACUGCAUUGGAUACUGCCUUGCUAGAGUACUGGAGAGGAGACUGGAAUUUACGGUGUAGCAGUGAAAUGCGUAGAUAUCGUAAGGAAGGCCAGUGGCGAAGGCGAGUCUCUGGACAGUUACUGACACUGAGGCACGAAGGCCAGGGGAGCAAACGGG